This 507-nucleotide ribosomal RNA is filed under the name Escherichia coli. Its description in RNAcentral is "bacterial SSU rRNA". It matches the Rfam family "Bacterial small subunit ribosomal RNA", at positions 136 to 638 of the family's 1533-position model. Lineage: Bacteria; Pseudomonadati; Pseudomonadota; Gammaproteobacteria; Enterobacterales; Enterobacteriaceae. The record is from RNAcentral.
GAGGGGGAUAACUACUGGAAACGGUAGCUAAUACCGCAUAACGUCGCAAGACCAAAGAGGGGGACCUUCGGGCCUCUUGCCAUCGGAUGUGCCCAGAUGGGAUUAGCUAGUAGGUGGGGUAACGGCUCACCUAGGCGACGAUCCCUAGCUGGUCUGAGAGGAUGACCAGCCACACUGGAACUGAGACACGGUCCAGACUCCUACGGGAGGCAGCAGUGGGGAAUAUUGCACAAUGGGCGCAAGCCUGAUGCAGCCAUGCCGCGUGUAUGAAGAAGGCCUUCGGGUUGUAAAGUACUUUCAGCGGGGAGGAAGGGAGUAAAGUUAAUACCUUUGCUCAUUGACGUUACCCGCAGAAGAAGCACCGGCUAACUCCGUGCCAGCAGCCGCGGUAAUACGGAGGGUGCAAGCGUUAAUCGGAAUUACUGGGCGUAAAGCGCACGCAGGCGGUUUGUUAAGUCAGAUGUGAAAUCCCCGGGCUCAACCUGGGAACUGCAUCUGAUACUGGCA